ACCACGAUAGCUCAGCUGGUACAGCAUAUACACGGCAAGCAGAAUGUCGCCGGUUCGAUUCCGGCUCUUGGUG
Molecule: transfer RNA, 73 nt
Filed under: Fasciola gigantica
Lineage: Eukaryota; Metazoa; Platyhelminthes; Trematoda; Plagiorchiida; Fasciolidae
Rfam family: tRNA
About the family: Transfer RNA (tRNA) molecules are approximately 80 nucleotides in length.
Source: Rfam by way of RNAcentral